AUAGGCGAAGCCGAAAACCUUAAAUAGAGUAGGCA
Molecule: non-coding RNA, 35 nt
Filed under: unclassified sequences
Description: DUF805b RNA
Rfam family: DUF805b RNA
About the family: Bacteroidetes, Chlorobi (1 example), Proteobacteria. Lineage (Flavobacteria)
Source: RNAcentral